Molecule: long non-coding RNA, 1234 nt
Organism: Armigeres subalbatus
Lineage: Eukaryota; Metazoa; Arthropoda; Insecta; Diptera; Culicidae
Exons: 4
Source: RefSeq, a predicted model, not a curated record
AUCGAUUGCUGUUGUGAAAAAAAAUGGAAACUGAAUCAUUUCGAAUUGGUUUUGAGCUGUUUUGAGGUGUUCAGCAAAUAAAAAUCCCACCGAAGCUGAAAUUCGAUCGUUUGGGUGUGCGGCAUUUCAACAUCGGUGAAUAACGUGCUACAAUCGGCAAAUGAAUCCGGAUGACGAACUCUGGAUUACCCUGGCUUCGGAGUAAAAUCUCUGAAAAACAAAUAUGUGUUUGAGCCAUUGGAACCGGAAUGUUGUUUCCAUCGCCCACCGGGAAAAGAUUACAGGUAGCUGGCAGCAAUACGGUACCGUAUCACAUCUGGCUGUACGGAACAUCCAAGGACUAAUCAUUCAAUGCCAGUCAGAAUCCCGAAAGCGAACGCAGGUAACCAGCGUAUGUUCAAAUUACCCUAUCGACGCCGAAAAACACCGACGCUGAAAUUUGAGCGUUUGCCUGUUUGGCGAUUUAACACCGGCGAAUAACACACUCUUGUUUCGUAUCGUCGUAGUGGAGGAGUUCCUUUCGGCUGGUCGGAAUAUCCAAGGAUUAAUCAUGAUUUGCACCAUGUAGGCAAUUCCAGCCGGAAUCCCGAAAGAGAAUGCAGGUACCCAGCAGCGUAGGUAAAAAUGAUCAAACAAAAAUACCAUCGAAGCUGAAAUUCUAAUGUUUGACUCUUCUGCGUUUCAACACCGGCGACAGAACAACAAUAAUCGGCGUAUAACACCUGCAGAGCCACCGGAAACAAAAUAUUAUUUUCAUUGCCAGGCAGGGUUCGCUGGUACCAUAUCGCAUCCGGCUAUUCGGAAUAUCCAAGGAUUAAUCAUGAUUUGCACCAUGUAAGCACUGCUAGUCGGUAUUCCGGAAGAGAACGCUGGUGCCCAGCAGACUAAAUGAUCUAAUCGACGACAAUCAAAUGAAAAUAAUACCACCGAAGUCGAAAUUCGAGCGUUUGGCUGUUCGGCGUUUUAACACCGGUAACAGAACAACAAUAAGCGGCGAAUAACGCCGGCAGAUUCGUACACUCGCAUCGGAGCGAAUUCCUUGUAAGAAAACGCAUAUGUGUAUUAGCCACCGGAACCAUGAUGUCGUUUCUAUCGCCUACAACGGAAUAGAUGAAAAGAAGCUGUCAGCAAUUCGGUACCGUAUAGCAUCCGGCUGUAAGGAAUAUCAGGAUUAAUUUUGUCUUCAGGAUUUGCACCCCAUAAUCAAUGCCAAUGAAUCAUUGGCAGUGGCUGA